GGCGUGCAUGAUUGAGCCUUGCCGCUAUACGUGUUGCUACUCUACUGCUGGGACUGCUUCAUUUGAGAGGAUGCACUGGGUGGAUGCCACUGAUGCUUGUUCUUCGCCAAAACCAAAGGAGUUGCUGCUUUCCAUGGUCGGCCGCGGCUUCUUCACCAAGGGCAACUACUUGGCAACCCAACGACCUCCUCCAACCCUUCAGGGCUAGCUGCUAGCUAUUGGAUUUGGAGUGCAUCUCUGGUUGAUUCAACAUCAGAAUUAGUGAAUGAGUUCAGAUUGUUGGGCAUCAUAAGCUGUCAAAGUUCUUUCUUUGUUGGUCUGAUGUUUAAGAUGAAAAUAGAGCAUAUAAUAGGAUGUCCACCUGCUUCGUGAGAAUUGCCCUCUGAAAGCUAAGUUUCUUGAUCUUAUACUCCUUGGGCAAACUAUAUUGUUACUUAGGUAGUCAAUUUGGAGUGACAAAAUGAUCUGACUAGCUUGGAACCCUGAGAAUGCACUGCUGUGUAUGUUCUAAUGAACAUUGGACCUGAAGUGCUGUUAACAUUUUGGUGCAUGUUCAGUAAAAAGACAAGUAAUCAGAAGUACUGAGUGCAACGAGUUAAUACUCUACCAGUAGAAUAUGAUCUAUUGAUUUGCUGCAGCUAUAUUAACCCAGACUAUACAUUUAUUUGAGCAGAUUCAUCGGAGUCUUAGUAAGUAUCUGUAUCCACAUGUUCAUCAAUCCCUUUUUCGUAAUAGGUUAUAUGUAUAGUGGGAUCCUGAAGUGGUCCUCAGGUCAUUUAGGUAGAUUAUGCACAUUUGAGUUCAUGGUGUGCACCAUCAUGUCUCCUGAAUGCUAUACAGUUCUAUCAUUUCACAAGGACAUUGCAUUUUCUGCAUUGAGGCCUGUAGUAAGUAUCUGUAUCCACAUGUUCAUCAAUCCCUUUUCCGUAAUAGGUUAUAUGUAUAGUGGGAUCCUGAAGUGGUCCUCAGGUCAUUUAGGUAGAUUAUGCACAUUUGAGUUCAUGGUGUGCACCAUCAUGUCUCCUGAAUGCUAUACAGUUCUAUCAUUUCACAAGGACAUUGCAUUUUCUGCAUUGAGGCCUGGGUUGACACCGCAAGGUAAAAAAAUUGGUCAGAGACUUAACUGGGCGUCCAAAUUUGAAAACACGAUAGAAAAUAAUAUGCUAUAAUUGGUAGUGUUACAGUUUAACAAACAAUAUUGGAGCACAUGAAAAUAGGUCGGCUUUGUCUGCCAUUCAUGUCAUAGCAGUUGCCUUUUUUCCUUUACUUAACUCGGGAGGGUCAUUUAUUUU
Molecule: non-coding RNA, 1292 nt
Organism: Lolium perenne
Lineage: Eukaryota; Viridiplantae; Streptophyta; Magnoliopsida; Poales; Poaceae
Source: RefSeq, a predicted model, not a curated record